This is a long non-coding RNA of Folsomia candida, 2330 nucleotides long. RefSeq lists it as uncharacterized. Lineage: Eukaryota; Metazoa; Arthropoda; Collembola; Entomobryomorpha; Isotomidae. The transcript is spliced from 2 exons. The record is from RefSeq and is a predicted model, not a curated record.
ACACGACGGAAAGGAUGGGAUCAGUGUUUCGCUUUUGCCGGCUAAAAUCGUUUUUUGUUGGCCAGUGGUCAAAAGUGGUCAAAAGUGGCCGAAAGUGGCCAAAAUGGUAGAAAAUGGUCAAAAGUGGUCAAAAGUAUUCUAUUGGCUAAUGGUCUGCGCGGCGGGUUUAAACAGACUCUCGGCCGGUAUUAUUUAUUCUUUGCACAAAAAAUAACCAUAGUUCUUACAAAGUAAUUAAAAUAGUCUGUAAUAAUUACUAAUCUAAUAAAUUCAACUUGGACAAAUACAGUAAGUAAUGUAUACAUUUGCUUGAUACUUGAAUAUUUUAAUGGUUCAUUGGUCAAGUCGUAACUAUUCCUGUGUCAAUUAUUAAUGAUGCAAUUUGUAAUUUAUUGCUUAUUUGUAGAGAUAAAAACCAAUUUUAAAAUUUUAGAUCCAAUCAAACAGCGAUAAGGAGCCUACAACUUGUUCUGCUAGAUCCUGAUGAAAUCCUGAAUGUCCUUAGUAAAAUCAUUAACUUAUCAUUAUUCCUUGUCGCAGAAUGCCCCAUUUUUGCAUUUUGACCACUUUUGGCCACUUUUGACCAUUUGCCACCUUUUUUGGUAAGUGGUCAAAAGCCACUUUUGGCCGCUUUUGACCGGCGGUCUGGCCAAUCCGGUUAUUGCCAAGCGAAACACUGGAUGGGAUCGAUUUUUUAAAUGAUUUUUUGACAAACCUUUAACAUGUACGUUGUGUUUCGUUUCUUGCUGGUUUGCUACAUUUCUUGCACUGGAAAGUAAGAAAUGCAAGAAAUGCGAGGUGCACGAAAUUGCAAGAAAAUGCAAGAAAUACGCGCCACAUAACCACACGCCGUAAGGACUAUAGUUAUUUCUUGCACCCCAAACACGGCAUGUACAUAUGUGUCACCGAUUUGUGAAAUAUGUGUGCAUUAUGUAGAUAUUUUAGGGAAAUAAUCCACGCAAAAAGUAUGAAUAUUUCUUUUAAAUAAAAUUAACUCGGUAACUCUGCCCGUUCAGGAGUAGUUAUUGAAGGUCAAAGUUUGAUUUGGGGGGAUGAUGUGAAAAAUUGAGAUUUAAGAGACGUUGAAUGAAUUUGAUAACAUCCUUUUUGCAGGGUCCCCGCCUAGCUGGGGGUAUUUUGUUAAUCUCGGGAUAAUGGUUACACAUAUUACAUCGCGUUACACACUAAUAUUUAAUUGUAACCCUUUCAUCACAGUAAUAUCUCGUCUUGGGGGUCGUGCGGAGCGAGUACCGUCUCAAUUUCCCCUCUGCAUUUCGAGAUACGAAAAUGAGACGAUGUACAUAUGUACUUAUGUACAUAUGUUUUCGUUCUGCGUUAUUUGAGGAUUUGGUGACAAGUUCAACGUCAUUUUAUUACAUUUUUUAUGUUGACAUCGUCCUUAAUUAUGUGUGAUGGAUGGGAGAUGAGAUCACCAAAUUUUAUUUUUCGAAUCUCUUUUCAUCCAAGAUUUUAAAAUUUUGAUGAAAUUUAUAAGUAUGAUUUAUCUACAGAGCCGCAUUUUUGGGGGUCAGUCUCAUUUUAUUCUAUUUUAUGAUUUUAUUUAUUACCGGUUUUCGUGAUUAUUGAAUUUCUUGAAGUGACUUGAAUUUAAUGAUGAUUUAGUUCCAAUUGCGACUCAGGCUUUAGAAGUUUUGUGCCCAGAGAAGAUUUUACAUCUAUUCAGGUCUACAUAAGAAAUGGAAGCCGAGUUAUUUAGAGAGACGGCUUAUCUAUCUACUUGUCUUGUCGGCUUCACUCAUCUCGGGCAGGAGCAGGAGACAGUGGUCAGUCUAAACGUAUGUAUGGGGGCCCUGCAGAAGGGAACUCAACUUAUCUUUUAAAUACGAUAUGCAUGUACAUUAGAAAAUUUUCAAAAAAUAUUAAAAUUUUUUAAAAAGCUGCAAGAGCGAUAAAGGAACUAUGAGGGUGUGGCGAGCGUAUUACAUGAGCAUCUAAAUUUGGCAGUGCAAACGUCGUGUCGUACGUAUUCCUGAAUUUUACGAAAUUUUUUGCACGGCCUCCAAAUUUCAAAAGCCUUUUAGCACGUCUUUUCUGGACUAAUAACUUUCUACUUUUCCAUUUGCACCGCCAUUUGCACCGCCAAGUUUCACAUGUGCUAAUCAGCCCAAGAUAAAUACUUCAAAUUAUGUGUCGUCGCCGUCCCUCCAAAGUAAAAAUUCAGGCAGGAGGAAGAAUUUGCAAUCUUAAACAAGUACUAAAUUUUCACUGUAAUUAAACAAACUUUGAAAAAUUUAAGGAAAAAAAUACACAAAUUUGUCACCGAAUUUUAUAAGCUUUUACAAAAUAAAGAUCACACUUAGAAAAAUUAA